RNAcentral lists this ribosomal RNA (308 nucleotides) under uncultured bacterium. RNAcentral's name for it is "partial 16S ribosomal RNA". It matches the Rfam family "Bacterial small subunit ribosomal RNA", at positions 505 to 807 of the family's 1533-position model. The record is from RNAcentral.
GAGACAGCAGUCGCCGCGGGAAUACGUAGGGUGCAAGCGUUAAUCGGAAUUACUGGGCGUAAAGCGUGCGCAGGCGGUUAUAUAAGACAGAUGUGAAAUCCCCGGGCUCAACCUGGGAACUGCAUUUGUGACUGUAUAGCUAGAGUACGGCAGAGGGGGAUGGAAUUCCGCGUGUAGCAGUGAAAUGCGUAGAUAUGCGGAGGAACACCGAUGGCGAAGGCAAUCCCCUGGGCCUGUACUGACGCUCAUGCUCGAAAGCGUGGGGAGCAAACAGGAUUAGAUACCCCUGUAGUCCCUGUCUCUUAUAC